Molecule: long non-coding RNA, 1503 nt
Filed under: Anolis carolinensis (green anole)
Lineage: Eukaryota; Metazoa; Chordata; Lepidosauria; Squamata; Anolidae
Description: lncRNA (ENSACAG00000043175.1)
Source: RNAcentral
AUGAAGCGCAAGUCCGAGAGCAGCGGCCCCGAAGGCAGGGCCCAGUCGCCCAGCAAGAAGGUCUGCAAGGCCUCCGAGAGGGGAAGAGUGCUGGGCCCCAGUGUCGCCAGCCCCACCGCCACCUUUGGGGACCUGCGCCACGCCAAGGCCGGACCGCCCCGAUGUCGCCACGUGCCCCCCGUGGCCCCGCCCCCCGAGCUGCAGGACUGGCUGCGCACCUUCCAGGUGAGACAGAGGGGGCAGGCAGGUUGUAGGGCAGGCCUGGGCAAAUUUCGGCCCUCACCCCAGGUGUUUUGGGCUUGGGCUCCCACAAUUUCUAGCACUCCAGUUCUAGGAUUCAAAUCCCUGCUCAGCCAUAGAAGCCUUAACAUGAUUGCUAGUGGAAAUAAUUGCAUCCAGUCUCUGAGCACCUACCCUGUUUCCCCUAAAAUAAGACAUCCCCAAAAAAUAAGACCUAGUAGAGGUUUUGCUGAAUUACUAAAUACAAGGCCUCCCCCGAAAGUAAGACCUAGCAAAGUUUUUGUUUGGAAGCAUGACCGCCGUAAAGAACACCAGAGCAAGCAGGAACGGUAAAUGUACAUACCAUAGAUUGUUGUACAUAGAAAUAAUGGUAGUAACAAGAAAUUUUUGAUAGGAUUCACAGUUUGUCUGUUUAUGCUGGUUUGUGAUGACAACUACUGUACAGUACAUAAUAAAUGUUCAAUUUUUUGUUCAACAAUAAAUGUGAAUUCUUCAUGGAAAAAUAAGAUCCCCUGAAAAUAAGACCUAGAGCAUCUUUGGGAGCAAAAAUUAAUAUAAGACACUGUCUUAUUUUCGGGGAAACACGGUAUCCUUUUGGCAAAUGUGAAUCUCCAUGAACAUGUGGAGACCACCUUUUGAAAACCACUAGUCAAGAAAAGCAUGACCUUGUUAGAAGUAAACUCUUUGAACAAGUGAUACUCAUAAGCAUUCAUGUAAUGGCACACAGGGAACUCAGCUGUUAAACUGAAAAACCAUGUCUUUGAACUGCCAAGGACAAGGCAUGCCACUACAAAAACAUAUUGGGUUAGCAGUGGAUAGUUGUUUCUUUUAAGUUGAAAUUGUAGUUGCAGUUGUAGUUGUAAUUGCCGAAAAGAUAUACACUCCCUCAAAACCUCUUAGUUUAAAAUUUUGGGCUCAGAAAUAAAAAACAAGGUCUUCUUUAAAAAAUAACAUAUCUUGUUUACUCACAAACAUCUUGUAUUAAUUCACCAUACAGACACAUUUCUUAUUGAAGUUUAGUUAUAGAUAGGAUGUGGUUCCUUGUGUGUUGAGUACAGAAGGUAUAAUUCUUAAUCAAUAGCCCACAGUCAUUAGGUAUAGUUGUACUCACUGUAAAGCAGACACUGACUACAAAAUGGAGUCCUGAGUCUGAACAUGCUCAUUGCAAUCACAUGCCUAUAACUUGUCCCACACCAAAGAGGUACAAUCAUACUGGCAAAUCAACGUACACAUAAAAUACAGGUUAGCAAAUAUAUACAUUAA